This is a long non-coding RNA of Rhododendron vialii, 686 nucleotides long. RefSeq lists it as uncharacterized. The record is from RefSeq and is a predicted model, not a curated record. Lineage: Eukaryota; Viridiplantae; Streptophyta; Magnoliopsida; Ericales; Ericaceae. The transcript has 2 exons.
UAAUGUUAGACUAUCGAGUAAAUGUGAAAUUUGUUGAAUUUAUUUGAUUUGGGGUCAAUGUGAUAGGAUUAAAAGUGGAGGGAGUGCAAGUGUGGUUGGUGUGUGUCCUAGUAUAUAUGUGUGUGUGUGAGGGUGUAGAGGAUCAAAAUCCCCAACCCUCUUUCUCUCUCCUCCCGAUCUCUCUCUCUCGGCUUCUCUCGUUCUCUCUCUCUCUCUCUCUCAAACUCUCACACUCUAACACCCCAAAAUACCUCGAACCCACCUCAAUCCGCCGCAAAGUUCUCGCAUUCAAGUGUUCUAGAGCUUGGAAAUUCGUGGGUUUGAGCUCGGAGAGGAGUAUUCGGAUGAUUCGAAGUUUUCGGAGCUAGGGCUUGCUUGGUUGGGCUUGGAUUUCGUUCUUCGACUUUGAGGUGUGAACCCGGAGCAGUAGAAUGGAGCGAAGUGCAUGCAUUCAAGUGCAUAUUUUCAAAAGAAGUGGCAAAAGAGACUCAUGGACUUUUGAUAAAACAUGUUUUGGGAAUGUAAUAGCACCUUAACUCUAUUUCUUUUUAUGAUGUAAUAUAUUCAAACUCUUGGAGUUGGAUCUGUAAUUUAAUGAUUUGGACUUGGUGAACUCUUUUGGGGUAUUAUGUAAGAUAAUGUGAGGGGUUUUAUUUAUGAAAAGCUAUCUUUAUUUAUGUUGAAAA